UGAACGCUGGCGGCGUGCUUAACACAUGCAAGUCGAACGAAGCACUACCGACGGAACUUUUCGGAGGGAAGAUGGUAAUGACUGAGUGGCGGACGGGUGAGUAACGCGUGGGCAACCUGCCCCAUAGAGGGGGACAACAGCUGGAAACGGCUGCUAAUACCGCAUAACAAGGAGAGAGCGCAUGUUCUUUUCUUCAAAGAUUUAUCGCUAUGGGAUGGACCCGCGUCUGAUUAGCUAGUUGGUGAGGUAACGGCUCACCAAGGCGACGAUCAGUAGCCGGCUUGAGAGAGUGAACGGCCACAUUGGGACUGAGACACGGCCCAAACUCCUACGGGAGGCAGCAGUGGGGAAUAUUGCACAAUGGGGGAAACCCUGAUGCAGCGACGCCGCGUGAGUGAAGAAGUAUUUCGGUAUGUAAAGCUCUAUCAGCAGGGAAGAUAAUGACGGUACCUGACUAAGAAGCCCCGGCUAACUACGUGCCAGCAGCCGCGGUAAUACGUAG
RNAcentral lists this ribosomal RNA (502 nucleotides) under uncultured bacterium. RNAcentral's name for it is "bacterial SSU rRNA". It matches the Rfam family "Bacterial small subunit ribosomal RNA", at positions 30 to 530 of the family's 1533-position model. The record is from RNAcentral.